UGGAACAGGUCAGGCACCUGCCAUUCUGC
RNAcentral lists this non-coding RNA (29 nucleotides) under Rattus norvegicus (Norway rat). Lineage: Eukaryota; Metazoa; Chordata; Mammalia; Rodentia; Muridae. The record is from RNAcentral.